This is a long non-coding RNA of Pocillopora damicornis (cauliflower coral), 1866 nucleotides long. RefSeq lists it as uncharacterized. The record is from RefSeq and is a predicted model, not a curated record. Lineage: Eukaryota; Metazoa; Cnidaria; Anthozoa; Scleractinia; Pocilloporidae.
ACGAUGACGUCAAAUCGCACGAUUCAAACACGCCUGCCUGCACGCUUGUCAAAUUUGAACUUUGUUCGCUGAAUCAGAAAUUGAAUAAAACCUUUGUACUAACUGUGGCUGUUUCAGUUGGACGAGUUCGCGUUGUUGUAAUUACGUUCUCGCGUAAUGUCGUGUUAAUGGGAAAAUUUUUAAGCUUGUUAUGGUCCACACGUUUCAAAUAAUGCUUUUUGAAGCCCUAGAAAUGUUAUUUUAAUGGACGUGUGGUGAUAGCACACUGGUUCGUUCCGAAAGUUGCCAACUUUGAUCUUCAGGAAGGUUCUACAUGUAUAAUGUUUGCUACCAGAAGAAAGAAAAAAAACCUAAGAAAGGGACCUAAGCUCCAACAACUGGAAACGUAAAUAAUGAAUCGCGAGGGUGACUUACGGCCGGCAGUCAGGGUAUGGUGAAGGAUACAGCUCAACAAGACUGUUGCUACUUUAAUGAUCGCCAUCACUUUAAAUCCAAUUUUGGUGGACAGAAAAUCUAUAUCAACCUGGAAAGAAGAAACGGAACGGCCACACACAUAAGUGACUGUAUGUAAUUACUUUAAAGCUGUUUAAGCACUGCAGUAGGCUGCACACUACUGACGCAUGACAGGAGCCCAUAGUAAUGUGCUUUUGCGCUUGAUGAUUAGAACAUCAUUUUCCAAAAGGGAUUUCCUUUCCCAAUGAUAUACUAUCUUUUUUAUGAAAAUAUCAUAAAGCUAUAUAAGCCCAGAGCUAGACUUGUGUAAAUCUACAUGAGAACAGCUGUAGGCUACACACUAUUGACGCAUGAUGAUAAUACCAUCAUUUUCCAAAAGGGAUUUCCUCUAUUAAUGAUAUACCACCCUUUUCAUGAGACUGUUAUAAAGUAAAAUAAGCCCUGCGCGAGACUUAUGUAAAGCUAUAUGAGAACAGCUGUAGGCUACACACUAUUGACGCAUGAUGAUAAUACCGUCAUUUUCCAAAAGGAUUUCCUCUAUUAAUGAUAUUCCACCCUUUUCAUGAGACUGUUAUAAAGCUAAAUAAGCCCAGCGCUAGACUUAUUUAAAGCUAUAUGAGAACAGCGUUAGGCUACACACUACUGACACAUGAUGAUAAGACCAUCAGGCUAUACUGCUGAAUACCCUGCCACCAUUUACAUGUCACUGAACAAGAAUAGCGUCUACUGUGUUAUACCUGGUUCUUGAAAGCCUCACGACACAUGUAAAUGAGGUGGGCCAAAGUGGCAGGGUAUUCUGCAGUUACUCCAUGCCAUCAUUGUACAAAAGGGGUUUCCUCUAUUAAUGAUAUACGAUCUUUUUCAUGUAACUAUUUUAAACCUAUAUAAGCACAGUGGUAGACUACUGUAAAGCUAUAUAAGCACAGCGGUAAGCUACACACCAUUGAUGCAUGAUAAGACCGUCAUUUUUAAAAAGCGAUUUCCUCUAUUAAUGAUUAACUUAUUUUUUCAUGUAACUGUUACAAAGCUAUAUAGGCACAGUGGUAGACUGCACAUUAUGGAUGCAUGACGAUAAGACCAUCAUUUUUAAAAAGGGAUUUCUCCUUUUAGUGAUCCUCUGUAUUUCGUUUUUUCUACUGGUAUUCAUGAAACGGUAAGCCACCCAUCAGAUUUGAGACAAACACAACUACUCUUUUUUCUCGGUGUUUUGUUUGGGCCAUGUACAGUGAAGAAGAGUGAGUCACACUAGUCAUUAAUAUGUCACAUGAUAUAUCAUCACUAAUCACGCGAUGAAAAAUCUGUCAACAAACAAUUGUUAUGAUAAACAAUCAGUGAAAACAAAAGAGGUGAUUCUACGCGAACCGUAAAUGCCUGACUCAAUAAAAAAAAAAUUCAUACAUUUCUCAAAUUCAA